AAAUUAGAAGCAUGCGUAAACCCUGCUUCUACCCCUCUUUGUCUCUGUCUCUGGCAAGUGCGAACCAGAAGAACCAUAUCUUCUGACUCUCUCUCUCACUCUUACUCUCAAUUCCAAAACCGAAGCAAAUGGAGCUGUGCACUGCGAACGCGAUUCUUCCACCAAGGUUCUCCUUUUCCACAACCCACGCAGAUUCCGUUCGAAACCUCAAAUCCUUCGUUCCGUUCCCCCGUUUCAUCAUCCGCGCCCAACGCGAAUUCGAGAGAAUGAGAGGAUUGCGACCCCGUGCGACUGUGAGUGACGCCGGUUCCUGUGAGGCGGUGGACGAGAGCCGAAUGCAUAGAGUGUGUGACAAGCUGAUUGGGGUUUUCAUGGUGGACAAGCCCACCCCAACCGAUUGGAGAAGGUUGUUGGCUUUCAGCAGAGAAUGGAACAACCUCAAGCCUCAGUUCUUUGCGCGCUGUCAAGAAAGAGCCGAUGCCGAAGAGGAUCCCGCCAUGAAGGAGAAGUUGCUACGCCUUGCAAGGAAGCUCAGACAGAUUGACGAGGAUGUGCAGAGACACAAUGACCUUCUUGAGGUGGUAAAACAGGAUCCCUCAGAAAUUAGUGAGAUUGUCUCCAAGCGUCGUAAAGAUUUUACUGAGGAGUUCUUUAUUCACCUUCAUACAGUGGCUGAAUCCUACUAUGAUAACAAAGAAAAGCAAAAUGAAUUGGCAAAGAUUGGGAACGCAUGCUUGGCUGCUGUACAAGCCUAUGAUGCUGCAACUGAAAGCCUUGAACAGGUAAAUGCUGCAGAGUUGAAAUUCCAAGAUAUUAUCAGUUCUCCUUCGCUUGAUGCUGCCUGCAGGAAGAUAGACAAUUUGGCUGAAAAAAAAGAACUUGACUCAACAUUGGUAUUGAUGAUCACCAAAGCUUGGUCAGCUGCGAAGGAAUCGGACAUGAUGAAAGAAGAGGUAAAGGAUAUCCUCUAUCAUUUAUACAAGACUGCUGUGGGAAAUCUUCAGAAACUCGUGCCGAAAGAGGUUAGAAUAGUGAAGUAUCUUAUUCAAAUCGAUGAUCCGGAAGAGCAACUGUCUGCCCUGAAAGAUGCAUUUACACCUGGAGAAGAACUUGAAGGAAAGGAUGUGGAUAAUUUGUACACGACACCAGAGAAGCUUCACACUUGGAUAAAGGGUGUGGUGGAUGCUUAUCAUUUAAGUAGAGAAGGUACCCUCAUUAGGGAAGCAAGGGAUCUGAUGAGUCCAGAGAUCAUCCAAAAAUUGGAGGUGCUCAAGAUGGUUAUCGAAAGGAACUUCAUGUGAAUAGGAGAGUUUAAGAAACAUGCUAAGGUGGUUUUCCUACUCUGAGGAGCCAAAAUUAUAUUCUUGAGCCAUGAGAUUCUCAAUGUCCACCAACUACAAGCCCUAACACGGGCAUUGCUGCAAGGAAAUAUCUAGUUGCUGGGUAGUGUUUCAGGAUUCGGAAUUCUUUUUAACCAUAGAAUAAACAACUUUUUUUAGUGAAAAAUAGAUGAGCAAAGCAGGAAACAAAAUAUACAACAAUCAUAAUGACAGCAUGUAAGUUAGGUUUGUCUAUGGUUUUGGUCACAAUAACUAUAGGAAAUUGAAAAGUGAGUAGGGAAAUGUGUUCUUUACACGUAGGAGAGGGAACAUAGUAGACCCGUAUUUGAAUACAGAACUUGGACUUUUGAGCCCUGGCACACGUUGAUUGUUCUACCAAAAGCCAAGGUCCAUAGUGAAGCCACUUAUAAGGUUGAAGAAUGUCUAGGCAAAUGAUCACUCAAUUAGGACAGUUUCUUGUUUUUGGAAACGGAUUUUUUCUUAAAAGGACAAAAAAAUGUUUGAUUUGAUAA
This is an RNA transcript of Vigna unguiculata (cowpea), 1852 nucleotides long. RefSeq lists it as uncharacterized. NCBI's taxonomy places the organism in Eukaryota, Viridiplantae, Streptophyta, Magnoliopsida, Fabales, Fabaceae. The record is from RefSeq and is a predicted model, not a curated record.